Molecule: ribosomal RNA, 2902 nt
Filed under: Arenicellales bacterium IbO2
Lineage: Bacteria; Pseudomonadati; Pseudomonadota; Gammaproteobacteria; Arenicellales
Description: ribosomal RNA 23s ribosomal RNA
Rfam family: Bacterial large subunit ribosomal RNA
Source: RNAcentral
UCAAGCAAAUAAGCGCACACGGUGGAUGCCUUGGCGAUAAGAGGCGAUGAAGGACGUGGUAGUCUGCGAUAAGCCUCGGCGAGCUGACAAACUAGCUUUGACCCGGGGAUUUCCGAAUGGGGAAACCCACCCGCUUUGCGGGUAUCUUGCGCUGAAUACAUAGGCGCAAGAGGCGAACCCGGGGAACUGAAACAUCUAAGUACCCGGAGGAAAAGAAAUCAACCGAGAUUCCCCCAGUAGCGGCGAGCGAACGGGGAACAGCCCUUAAGCUUUGCAAGUUCUAGUGGAAUGUUCUGGAAAGUUCGGCCAUAGACGGUGACAGCCCCGUACACGAAAGGGCUUGCAAAAGUGAAAUCGAGUAGGACGGAGCACGAGAAACUUUGUCUGAACAUGGGGGGACCAUCCUCCAAGGCUAAAUACUCCUUAUCGACCGAUAGUGAACCAGUACCGUGAGGGAAAGGCGAAAAGAACCCCUGUUAGGGGAGUGAAACAGAACCUGAAACCGUGUGCGUACAAGCAGUGGGAGCCCGUUUUCGAACGGGUGACUGCGUACCUUUUGUAUAAUGGGUCAGCGACUUACAUUUUGUAGCAAGGUUAACCGCAUAGGGGAGCCGCAGAGAAAUCGAGUCUUAAUAGGGCGCUUAGUUGCAGGAUGUAGACCCGAAACCGGGCGAUCUAGCCAUGGCCAGGUUGAAGGUCGGGUAAUGCCGACUGGAGGACCGAACCAACUUAUGUUGAAAAAUGAGUGGAUGAGCUGUGGCUAGGAGUGAAAGGCUAACCAAGCCCGGAGAUAGCUGGUUCUCCCCGAAAACUAUUUAGGUAGUGCCUCGUGUUUCACUUCCGGGGGUAGAGCACUGUAAUGGCUAGGGCCGCAUCUCGCGGUACCAACCCAUUGCAAACUCCGAAUACCGGAAAGUGCAAUCACGGGAGACAGACGGCGGGAGAUAAGUUUCGUCGUCGAAAGGGAAACAGCCCAGACCGCCGGCUAAGGUCCCCAAACACGUCUCAGUGGGAAACGAUGUGGGAAGUCUCAGACAGCCAGGAUGUUGGCUUAGAAGCAGCCAUCAUUUAAAGAAAGCGUAACAGCUCACUGGUCGAGUCGUCCUGCGCGGAAGAUAUACCGGGGCUCAAGACGUGUACCGAAGCCGCGGGUGCGUGCAUUCUUCGGAGUGCGCGCACGGUAGGGGAGCGUUCCGUAGCCCGUUGAAGGUGUGCCGUGAGGCAUGCUGGAGGCAUCGGAAGUGAGAAUGCUGACAUGAGUAGCGACAAUGCGGGUGAGAGGCCCGCACGCCGAAAGCCCAAGGUUUCCUGCGCAACGCUAAUCGGCGCAGGGUGAGUCGACCCCUAAGGCGAGGCCGAAAGGCGUAGUCGAUGGGAAUCAGGUUAAUAUUCCUGAACCGAAUAUAACUGCGACGGGGUGACGGAGAAGGCUAGGUCGGCCGGGUGUCGGAUAUCCCGGUUUAAGCGUGUAGGUUGGGAGCCCAGGAAAAUCCGGGCUUCCUUAAGACUGAGACGUGACGACGAGCGCCCUAACGGGCGCGAAGCGAUUGAUGCCAUGCUUCCAGGAAAACCCUCUAAGCUUCAGGUUGUAUUCGAUCGUACCCCAAACCGACACAGGUGGGCGGGGAGAGAAUCCCAAGGCGUUGAGAGAACUCUGGUGAAGGAACUCGGCAAAAUGACACCGUAACUUCGGGAGAAGGUGUGCCUCCGGUAGGUGAAGGGCUUCGCGCCCGGAGCCGAUGGGGGUUGCAACAAAGAGGUGGCUGCGACUGUUUACUAAAAACAUAGCACUCUGCAAACUCGCAAGAGGAAGUAUAGGGUGUGACGCCUGCCCGGUGCCGGAAGGUUAAGUGAUGGGGUUAGCCCUUGGGCGAAGCUCUUGAUCGAAGCCCCGGUGAACGGCGGCCGUAACUAUAACGGUCCUAAGGUAGCGAAAUUCCUUGUCGGGUAAGUUCCGACCUGCACGAAUGGCGUAACGAUGGCCACACUGUCUCCACCAGAGGCUCAGCGAAAUUGAACUCGCUGUGAAGAUGCAGCGUACCCGCGGCUAGACGGAAAGACCCCGUGAACCUUUACUACAGCUUCACACUGGACUUUGAGCACGCAUGUGCAGGAUAGGUGGAAGGCUUUGAAGCGGAGACGCCAGUCUUCGUGGAGCCAACCUUGAGAUACCACCCUUGCUUGUUUGGGGCCCUAACCGAGGCCCGUGAUCCGGGUCCGGGACCAUGUGUGGCGGGUAGUUUGACUGGGGCGGUCUCCUCCCAAAGAGUAACGGAGGAGCGCGAAGGUGCUCUAAGUGCGGUCGGAAAUCGCACGGCUAGUGCAAAGGCACAAGAGCGCUUGACUGCGAGACAGACACGUCGAGCAGGUGCGAAAGCAGGUCUUAGUGAUCCGGUGGUUCUGUAUGGAAGGGCCAUCGCUCAACGGAUAAAAGGUACUCCGGGGAUAACAGGCUGAUACCGCCCAAGAGUUCACAUCGACGGCGGUGUUUGGCACCUCGAUGUCGGCUCAUCACAUCCUGGGGCUGUAGCCGGUCCCAAGGGUAUGGCUGUUCGCCAUUUAAAGUGGUACGCGAGCUGGGUUUAGAACGUCGUGAGACAGUUUGGUCCCUAUCUGCCGUGGGCGCCGGAGACUUGAGAGGAGCUGCUCCCAGUACGAGAGGACCGGAGUGGACGUACCUCUGGUGUUCCGGUUGUGAUGCCAAUCGCAUUGCCGGGUAGCUAUGUACGGACGGGAUAACCGCUGAAAGCAUCUAAGCGGGAAGCCCCCCUCGAGAUUAGGUCUCCCCGGGGCCUUGCGCCCCCUGAAGGGUCGUUGAAGACUACAACGUUGAUAGGCUGGGUGUGGAAGUUCAGCAAUGAAUGAAGCUAACCAGUACUAAUUGCCCGUGCGGCUUGACCAU